Molecule: transfer RNA, 77 nt
Filed under: Candidatus Thiodiazotropha sp. (ex Epidulcina cf. delphinae)
Lineage: Bacteria; Pseudomonadati; Pseudomonadota; Gammaproteobacteria; Chromatiales; Sedimenticolaceae
Description: tRNA-Arg
Rfam family: tRNA
About the family: Transfer RNA (tRNA) molecules are approximately 80 nucleotides in length. Their secondary structure includes four short double-helical elements and three loops (D, anti-codon, and T loops). Further hydrogen bonds mediate the characteristic L-shaped molecular structure. tRNAs have two regions of fundamental functional importance: the anti-codon, which is responsible for specific mRNA codon recognition, and the 3' end, to which the tRNAs corresponding amino acid is attached (by aminoacyl-tRNA synthetases). tRNAs cope with the degeneracy of the genetic code in two manners: having more than one tRNA (with a specific anti-codon) for a particular amino acid; and 'wobble' base-pairing, i.e. permitting non-standard base-pairing at the 3rd anti-codon position.
Source: RNAcentral
GUCCCAGUAGCUCAGUAGGAUAGAGCGUCUCCCUCCUAAGGAGAAAGUCGGGGGUUCGAAUCCUCUCUGGGACGCCA